RNAcentral lists this transfer RNA (71 nucleotides) under Streptomyces yunnanensis. Its description in RNAcentral is "tRNA-Asp". It matches the Rfam family "tRNA". From Rfam's summary of the family: Transfer RNA (tRNA) molecules are approximately 80 nucleotides in length. Their secondary structure includes four short double-helical elements and three loops (D, anti-codon, and T loops). The record is from RNAcentral. Lineage: Bacteria; Bacillati; Actinomycetota; Actinomycetes; Kitasatosporales; Streptomycetaceae.
GCCCCGCAGUUCAGGGGGAGAGCGCCUGAUCGUCGAUCGGGAGGGCGUCGGUUCGAUUCCGGCCGGGGUCG